Alnus glutinosa is the source of this 940-nucleotide long non-coding RNA. RefSeq lists it as uncharacterized. NCBI's taxonomy places the organism in Eukaryota, Viridiplantae, Streptophyta, Magnoliopsida, Fagales, Betulaceae. The transcript is spliced from 2 exons. The record is from RefSeq and is a predicted model, not a curated record.
UACAGCGUCUUCUUGGGUCCUUCUCGCGAGUCGCGUCCUCCUCAGCUGACGUGGAAGGCUUUUUUUAAUCUUAAAAAUCUGCAUCAAAAAUAGGACAUUAAACAGCUUUAAAAAAAAAAAUUCAAAUCAAACUAAAAGUCUGGAAUACGCUUCCCUUCCCCUCCAAAAUUUUCAGCUCCUCCCUCUCGCUCGCUCUCCGGUCGUCCACCGGCGGCGUUGUUUCUGUCUCGCCGUUUGUCUCUCUCGGCGGUCGGCCACCUUCAAAACCCAUUGAGAAAGAAUCGGAUUCUCACUUGAUCAGCUACAGUCCUGUUCCCCCAAAAAGAGCUAGAAUUGAAACGAUGAGUUCAAUCUCUGAAAGCCUGCAAUGCAGCCGGAGAAUAAACGAGAUAGUCCUGAAUCUGUAAUCUUUUGAUGAUUAUCUGCGGGCCAUGACUGAGCGUAAGGGGAAUAAAGGAGGGUUGUGGUGGCUCAAGAUUAUUUGGAUUGUCAAACGCAGAGUCGGUGAGAUUAUCUGGAAUCUUCCUGACAAAUGGUUUUAUACGGAAGCCAAGGGGAGAAUGCGAAAGAGGAGCCGUGUCUGCAGAUUGCGUUUGGGAGUGGCUUCAACUGUAAUAGUGCGGUUUGGGAGGCCCUGAGGAAUGUAAAACCUUCUCCUAAUAGUCCUUGGGAAGAUUGCAUUCAUAUGUAUCCGGUACAGACAGUUGCAUAGCUCGACCACAAUUCGGUUGGGCUCUGGGAUGUCUCGAUAGUUUGAACCAGGCAAUUAUCUUGUUCUUCUGUCCUCCCUUGUCACUUUUUAUGUUUAGAACAAAAGCCAUAAUAUGUGGGCUUGUCUUUAUUUCUGGUAUGUAUUGUGUCUGGAUUAAUAUGGUGUAUGCAUUCCUUUUUUCAAAGGGAUAUAUAUAUAUAUAUAAGAUCCAGCUGUACAUGGAGUUCA